AAUGGGAUAGCUGGGUCAAAUGGUGGUUCCAUUCCAAGUUCUCUAAGGAAUCUCCAACUGCUUUCCAGAUUGGCUGCAACAAUUUGCAGUCCCGCCAGCAAU
Molecule: microRNA precursor, 102 nt
Filed under: Marmota monax (woodchuck)
Lineage: Eukaryota; Metazoa; Chordata; Mammalia; Rodentia; Sciuridae
Source: RNAcentral